GAAGCGGCAACGGCUCAAAUUUGAAAUCUGACCCUUUGGGGUCCGAGUUGUAAUUUGCAGAGGGUGUUUCGGGCACGGUGCCGGUUUAAGUCCUUUGGAACAGGGUGUCAUAGAGGGUGAGAACCCCGUAUGUGACCGGUCGCCAAACCUAUGUGAAACCCCUUCGACGAGUCGAGUUGUUUGGGAAUGCAGCUCAAAAUGGGUGGUAAAUUUCAUCUAAAGCUAAAUAUUGGCCAGAGACCGAUAGCGCACAAGUAGAGUGAUCGAAAGAUGAAAAGCACUUUGGAAAGAGAGUCAAACAGCACGUGAAAUUGUUGAAAGGGAAGCGCUUGCGACCAGACCUGCUCGCGGGUGAUCAGCGGUGCUUUUCGCGCCGUGCACUCAUCCGCGAUCAGGCCAGCAUCGGUUCAGGCGGCCGGACAAAGACUCGGAGAAUGUAGCUCCCUCCGGGGAGUGUUAUAGCUCCUUGUGCAAUACGGCCAGCCGGGACCGAGGACCGCGCU
This 503-nucleotide ribosomal RNA is filed under the name Psora decipiens. RNAcentral describes it as "LSU rRNA". It matches the Rfam family "Eukaryotic large subunit ribosomal RNA", at positions 95 to 601 of the family's 3401-position model. The record is from RNAcentral. Lineage: Eukaryota; Fungi; Ascomycota; Lecanoromycetes; Lecanorales; Psoraceae.